This 72-nucleotide transfer RNA is filed under the name Phrynosoma platyrhinos (Desert horned lizard). RNAcentral's name for it is "tRNA-OTHER". The record is from RNAcentral. Lineage: Eukaryota; Metazoa; Chordata; Lepidosauria; Squamata; Phrynosomatidae.
GCCAGUGUGGUAUAGUGGUUUGAGCACUGGACUACAACUCUGGAUACCAGGGUUUGAAUCCCCACUUGGCCA